CUUCAGGGACCCGAGCCACAGCGGCUCUUCCCGGUCCCGGCCGUACGUGGCCAGCAGCGCCUGCGCCUC
This 69-nucleotide antisense RNA is filed under the name Amycolatopsis australiensis. RNAcentral describes it as "ASpks TB sRNA". It matches the Rfam family "ASpks TB sRNA". Lineage: Bacteria; Bacillati; Actinomycetota; Actinomycetes; Pseudonocardiales; Pseudonocardiaceae. The record is from RNAcentral.